RNAcentral lists this ribosomal RNA (377 nucleotides) under uncultured bacterium. RNAcentral describes it as "bacterial SSU rRNA". It matches the Rfam family "Bacterial small subunit ribosomal RNA", at positions 521 to 896 of the family's 1533-position model. The record is from RNAcentral.
UAAGACGGAGGUCCCUAGCGUUGUUCGGAAUCACUGGGCUUAAAGCGCGUGUAGGCGGGAUGGCAAGUACCUUGUGAAAUCCCCGGUCUCAACCCGGGAACUGCUCGGUAUACUGUCAUUCUUGAGGCAGGUAGGGGUCACUGGAACCUUAGGUGGAGCGGUGAAAUGCGUAGAUAUCUAAGGGAACGCCUGUGGCGAAAGCGGGUGACUGGGCCUGUCCUGACGCUGAGACGCGAAAGCGUAGGGAGCAAACGGGAUUAGAUACCCCGGUAGUCUACGCCGUAAACGAUGCGCACUAGGUUCGAGGACCACUGACGGUACUCGAGCCGAAACAAAAGCGAUAAGUGCGCCGCCUGGGGAGUACGGCCGCAAGGCUA